This 29-nucleotide non-coding RNA is filed under the name Homo sapiens (human). Lineage: Eukaryota; Metazoa; Chordata; Mammalia; Primates; Hominidae. The record is from RNAcentral.
UCCCCAUCAUAUGUGCAUCAAGUAUGAUC